GUACUAUUGAAGAGUCCAAGACUAGGAUGAAACAGCUGUCCAGUAC
This 46-nucleotide non-coding RNA is filed under the name Trichobilharzia regenti. Lineage: Eukaryota; Metazoa; Platyhelminthes; Trematoda; Strigeidida; Schistosomatidae. The record is from RNAcentral.